Molecule: ribosomal RNA, 1413 nt
Filed under: uncultured organism
Description: partial 16S ribosomal RNA
Rfam family: Bacterial small subunit ribosomal RNA
Source: RNAcentral
CAGGAUGAACGCUAGCGGCAGGCUUAACACAUGCAAGUCGAGGGGUAACGACUCCGUCUUCGGAUGGAGGUCGACGACCGGCGCACGGGUGGGUAACGCGUAUGCAACCUACCUUUUACAGGAGGAUAGCCCAGAGAAAUUUGGAUUAAUACUCCAUAGUACUAAUGAAUCACCUGGUUUAUUAGUUAAAACUCCGGUGGUAAAAGAUGGGCAUGCGUGUCAUUAGCUAGUUGGUAAGGUAACGGCUUACCAAGGCGAAGAUGACUAGGGGUUCUGAGAGGAAGAUCCCCCACACUGGUACUGAGACACGGACCAGACUCCUACGGGAGGCAGCAGUGAGGAAUAUUGGUCAAUGGGUGAGAGCCUGAACCAGCCAUGCCGCGUGAAGGAAGACUGCCCUAUGGGUUGUAAACUUCUUUUCUGCAGGAAGAAAUCACUCUACGUGUAGGGUGUUGCCGGUACUGCAGGAAUAAGCAUCGGCUAACUCCGUGCCAGCAGCCGCGGUAAUACGGAGGAUGCAAGCGUUAUCCGGAUUUAUUGGGUUUAAAGGGUGCGUAGGCGGGCUUGUAAGUCAGUGGUGAAAUGCUGUGGCUUAACCAUAGAAUUGCCAUUGAAACUGCAAGUCUUGAGUACAGUUGAGGUGGGCGGAAUGAGUAAUGUAGCGGUGAAAUGCAUAGAUAUUACUCAGAACUCCGACUGCGUAGGCAGCUUGCUAAAUUGUAACUGACGCUGAUGCACGAAAGCGUGGGGAGCGAACAGGAUUAGAUACCCUGGUAGUCCACGCUGUAAACGAUGAGCACUGGUUGUUGGCAAUACACCGUCAGCGACUGAGCGAAAGUAUUAAGUGCUCCACCUGGGGAGUACGUCGGCAACGAUGAAACUCAAAGGAAUUGACGGGGGCCCGCACAAGCGGUGGAGUAUGUGGUUUAAUUCGAUGCAACGCGAAGAACCUUACCAGGGCUUGACAUGUCCGGAACCUUGCCGAAAGGUGAGGGUGCCUACGGGAACCGGAGCACAGGUGGUGCAUGGCUGUCGUCAGCUCGUGUCGUGAGAUGUUGGGUUAAGUCCCGCAACGAGCGCAACCCACGUUCUUAGUUGCCAGCAUUCAGUUGGGCACUCUAGGGAGACUGCCGGUGACAAACCGGAGGAAGGUGUGGAUGACGUCAAGUCAGCAUGCCCCUUACGUCCUGGGCUACACACGUACUACAAUGCUGUGGACAAAGGGCAGCCAGCCGGCGACGGUGAGCUAAUCCCAUAAACCACGGCACAGUUCAGAUUGCAGGCUGCAACUCGCCUGCAUGAAGGAGGAAUCGCUAGUAAUCGCAGGUCAGCAUACUGCGGUGAUACGUUCCCGGGCCUUGUACACACCGCCCGUCACACCAUGGGAGUUGGUUUUGCCCGAAGUCGUUACUC